GACGAACGCUGGCGGCGUGCCUAAUACAUGCAAGUUGAGCGCUGCCGGCUGGUCCUUGUGCCAACUGGAUGAGCAGCCGACGGGUGAGUCACGCGUGGGGAAUCUGCCUUUGAGCGGGGGACAACAUUUGGAAACGAAUGCUAAUACCGCAUAAAAACUUUAAACACAAGUUUUAAGUUUGAAAGAUGCAAUUGCAUCACUCAAAGAUGAUCCCGCGUUGUAUUAGCUAGUUGGUGAGGUAGAAGCGAACCCAGGCGAGGAACCAUAGCAGACCUCAGAGGGGGAGCGGCCACGCUGGGACGGAAACACGGCCCAAACUCCUGCGGGAGGCAGAAGUAGGGAACCUUUGGGAAUGGAAGAAAGUCUGAACGAGCAACGCCGGGCGAGAGAAGAAGGGUGUCGGAUCGUGAAACUCGGGUGGUAGAGAAGAUCGUAGGGGAGAGUGGAAAGCGAAUCAAGUGACAGUAACGACACAGAAAGGGACGGCUAACUACGUG
This 497-nucleotide ribosomal RNA is filed under the name uncultured bacterium. RNAcentral's name for it is "partial 16S ribosomal RNA". It matches the Rfam family "Bacterial small subunit ribosomal RNA", at positions 28 to 507 of the family's 1533-position model. The record is from RNAcentral.